CUGCUGGCUUCAGCACAGAUAUACUAUAAUUGGAAAGAUACAGAGAAGAUCAGCGUCGCCCCUGGGAAAGGACGACAUGCAGACUUAGGUAGCAUUCCAAAUUUUU
RNAcentral lists this small nuclear RNA (106 nucleotides) under Meriones unguiculatus (Mongolian gerbil). Lineage: Eukaryota; Metazoa; Chordata; Mammalia; Rodentia; Muridae. The record is from RNAcentral.